UGACGAAGAUUUCCGGCACUCGUGUGCCGUCUCACGAUUUCGAAUCCCGCCUUCCGCCUUUCGGCUGCUGCGGUCGAGCGUGCCGCCCCCUCCGCCCUGCCGUAUUCGCUUACCUCACACCCGUUCUUUUACUCGUACGUCGCACCUUGGCCAAUGUCUGCUCAGUCCGCGGCCAGUCGGUGGACUAACCUCGCUGGCAUCGGCUCCUGCCACCCGACGCACCAUCAUUACCCCACGAGUACCGAAGAAGUGCAGGACGCUGUCGAGCUGGUGCGUUCGCAGAACGGCAAGUGCCGCGUCGCGGGAGCCGGCAAGAGCCCGAACACAGCCACCUUCACGAAUGAGCACCUGAUCCACAUGGAGCGCAUGAACCGCAUCUUGUCCAUUGACACCGUCGCGCACACCAUCACGUGUGAGGCGGGGGCGGUUAUGGAGGAGGUGAUGAGGUCGGUCGACAAGGUGGGUCUCAUGGUGCGCUGCGUGCCAUCCUACGUCCGGACUACUGUCGGCGGCUGCAUCGCCACGGCUACGCACAGCAGCGGCAGCCAAUGCCAUUGUCUCUCGGACUAUGUGCGAGGGUUGAAGAUCGUGGACGGCUGCGCCCAGAUUCGCACGCUGGUCGCAGGCAAGGACGAUGCGGAGCUGCGGCUGGCCGCCUGCCACCUCGGCGUGAUUGGCAUUGUCACGGAGGUCACGCUGGAGGUGCAGCCGCGGGUUCAGUGGAAGUUGGUAAGUCAGCCGUUGCCCAUGAAGGAUGCGACGAACGCUGCGCUGGUUGCGGAGAAGGUGAGGUCGACCGAGUACUACCGGUGGUGGUGGGUGCCACACACGGACGGCUGCUACGAGUCCUACGGCAGAGUCGAGAGCACGACGGACAUAUCCGCGCUGCCCCCGCUUCCCGACGCGCUCACUGCGCGGGAUGACGCGCCUGUGCAGCCGUCGCCUGCUGCUUUGCAGGAAGCAAGCAGCGCCAGCGACAGCAGCGCCUCUCUAAUCGUGAAGAGUGCCCUCAAGAGUAUUGCGACGGACUUUGUGCGGCAUCAGGUGGUUGAGUGGAGCCUGUGGGCGGCGUGCCUGUACCCGGCUAUUCAGCCGUACGUGAACAAGGCGUAUCAGCGGGUCUUCUUCUCGGCUCCCCAGGUGCAGCGCGGGUCGGCGCUCGAGUGCUUCACCUUCGACUGCCUCUUCAAGCAGUGGGCCAACGAGUGGGCUAUCGAUGCCUCGCGGGCCGUUGAGGCGUUUAACCGACUGCGGGACAUGAUCGACCGUGAGGGCAUGCUCCUGCACUUCCCCGUCGAGUUCCGCUUCACGGCGCCAGAUGUGUCGGACAUGUCCCCCGCCGUGGGGCGGCCAACAUGCUGGAUUGGUGUGGUCAUGUACCGUCCCUACGGGCAGGAAGCGCGCGACACGCGCCGUUGCUACGACGGCUUCUGCCACGUGAUGGAGGAGAUGGGUGGCCGUCCACACUGGGCCAAGUACUACGACUGGGGACAUCGCGAGAUAACGGCGGCCUACGGCGACCACUGGGAGCGCUUCCUGGCGCUGCGUCGCAGGAUGGACCCCGACGACAUCUUUGUAAACCGUUGGUUCCGCAACCUUAUGUCGUCCGACCGCGUGAACAGCACCGCGUGCACGCCGUAGACAGUCCUGGUACCUAAUAUCUUGUGCGUGCGAGCGUCUGUGUGUAGCAAAGGCUGCCUGCGGGCUCGCGUCAACCACCAUCGCUUCUC
RNAcentral lists this unclassified non-coding RNA (1730 nucleotides) under Leishmania donovani. RNAcentral's name for it is "gene:LdHU3.17.2000(CDS-product:L-galactonolactone _oxidase_putative)". The record is from RNAcentral. Lineage: Eukaryota; Euglenozoa; Kinetoplastea; Trypanosomatida; Trypanosomatidae.